RNAcentral lists this ribosomal RNA (497 nucleotides) under uncultured bacterium. RNAcentral describes it as "partial 16S ribosomal RNA". It matches the Rfam family "Bacterial small subunit ribosomal RNA", at positions 28 to 507 of the family's 1533-position model. The record is from RNAcentral.
GAUGAACGCUGGCGGCGUGCCUUAUACAUGCAAGUCGAGCGAACGGACGAGCUGCUUGCUUUUCUGAUGUUAGCGGCGGACGGGUGAUUAACACGUGGAUAACCUACCUAUAAGACUGGGAUAACUUCGGGAAACCGGAGCUAAUACCGGAUAAUAUUUUGAACCGCAUGGUUCAAAAGUGAAAGACGGUCUUGCUGUCACUUAUAGAUGGAUCCGCGCUGCAUUAGCUAGUUGGUAAGGUAACGGCUUACCAAGGCAACGAUGCAUAGCCGACCUGAGAGGGUGAUCGGCCACACUGGAACUGAGACACGGUCCAGACUCCUACGGGAGGCAGCAGUAGGGAAUCUUCCGCAAUGGGCGAAAGCCUGACGGAGCAAUGCCGCGUGAGUGAUGAAGGUCUUCGGACCGUAAAACUCUGUUAUUAGGGAAGAACAUAUGUGUAAGUAACUGUGCACAUCUUGACGGUACCUAAUCAGAAAGCCACGGCUAACUACGUG